GCUGACUCCCCCACUUUGGACUUUGGUACUAUCUUUGUCAGUAGUCAUCAGCUGAACAACACCACCUCCAACGACCAAUCACUUCUGAAGAUCCGCACCUGAUUCCAAGACGUGGCUGGAUCAAGGAGUGUCUUUAAAAAGAAAGGAAGAAAACUUCCUAGAGAGACAAAUGCAGCUGUUCUGACACUUCCCUCUCUGGGGACAAGAAGAUUCAGUAACUUGAACAAUCAAGUUGUACUAAAGAACAUUCUUUGUCUUGUGAGAAACUAUCUGUGGAAACAGGACACCUCAUGCUAGGAACGUGCAUAAAACACCAGUCCGCGUCCAGGCAAGUCUGAUGAAGGAGCCACUGAUCUUCUAGAUGAGGAGUCAUCUUCAGCAGCCUAAGCCAGGAAAUGGCCUCAAAGCCACUGGAUGGAUGGGUACUCAAGAGGAGAACACUAGGAAUAUGCAGACAGCCCGUGGGCAAUACAGAGAGAGACUGAUCAGAAAGGAAAUCUGCUUAAAAUGUCAGAAAGUUUACGAAAAAAAGGUAAGAAGUGAAAUAUAUAUAUAUAUGUUCUUUUUAAAUUUCUUAAAAUAAAAACAGGAAAUGGAAGAUUUGUACAGAGCAAAUAAAAAUAAUGUCUAGCUCCCAUGGAAAAUAUGGGAAUGUAAGUUUAACAUUGUCUUCUUUCUGAGGGUAAUUUUUAUUUGUGAGGCUUAAUGGAACCCUUCAUGCUAGAAACAUCUUUGAAGACAAGUGAAAAUAAUCUGUCAGUUGCCAUGGACACAUCUUUGUGAAAACCUUAUAUUCCUCUUUUACCGUGUGACUGCAUACUGAUAUUUACUAUACAGAAGACUGAGUGUGCCCAUCUUAAUUCCUAAUAUGCACUGUGAUUUUUAUGCAACUCCCUACACAUCUAAUUUACACAGCUUGCCUUCAUUGCAGUCUGUAUCAAUUUUGGCAAUUUCUUGUGAGAUGCAUGGCACCACAGGCUAAAUGAUAGCUCAUAAUAAGCCAGUAUCUUUGCUUCAAAGAUAAUUGUGAACAUCAUUAAAUGAAUGUUAUGCCAGGGGGAAUGGGUAUCCAUCCAAUAAGGCUUUCCAUUUAUCCUGUGGUGUCAAGCACAGAAAAUAAACAGUAGUAAGCAUGAGCUUCUUGGGAUUUCUGGGACUGGAAAUGUACUGCUAUGGAAACAGUGAAAAUCAGUAUAUACUUAUGUGAGGACAGUAGCAAACAUUUAAUCUUCAGAUAGUGCUCUAGAAGUUCUAGGUAAAAUCUUGAUUGCUGUUUGCUUCAAAAAUCUGUCUAGUCAGACACUUCAGAAUGAAGGAUUACGUGCUGUCUUUAUAACUGUGUUAAAAAUUGAAGUGACAGAAAUUGAGGGAUACUACUCAGCAGAGAUCAUGUAGGGAAUGCGUUUUACUUGAACAUAUGCAUAACUGUAUGAUAAUAAGUUCAUUUAUUAUAAAAAUGGUUUUAUGAGAUUAUAACAAAAAGAGUGUACUAGUGAAAUGCCCAGCUGAUAGGUCUGCUACUUUGUUCAUCAGAUACAGAGUGUAUCAUGCAAUCUGGGAAAAGGCUUCAUUCCAUUUAUAUUCAUCCUAUUCAUUCUGGGUUGAAUUCAAGACCAGAGCUCAUAAAGUAAGAGUUCUUCUGGGACCCCUGGCAGGAAUAAAUUGCCUUAAUGUAAAUAUCGUUGCCUAUGUCUGCAUGAAAAUCUCCACAACCAUUACUGAAAGCACUGGAAUACUUGUCCAGAAUAUGCUCUGCUGUUUUGCUUUGAUCUACCUGCUAAAGCUAUUUUGUUUUGAUCUAUGUAAUACUGACAAGACUGGGAUUGACACAGUUCUGCAGAAGAUAAAGUGAAAAGCUGGUGCCAAAGCUGUGUAACUACAAUAUAGUGAGACAAUGUCAGAAUUAAUGAACUUAAUAGAGAUACAGUGAUAAGAACACAAAAGCCAGUAAUUCAUUAGUGCAGUUCCAGGAGCAUUGUAAUGUAUGGAAAAAAUUCAUGGCUGUGGAUAGUUCAGAUUAUAAAAAUGUCUGCUACUGGAUAUGUACAUUUGCCUGUACUUGUCUGUGUGCAUUGGCAGCUGGAGGUUCUUCCCACAUUUUCCUUUUUAAAUACAUAUAAGUGAUAUGAGAGUCUGUGAGUUUCCUUCUGUAAUGUGUUAGG
This is a long non-coding RNA of Lagopus muta (rock ptarmigan), 2162 nucleotides long. RefSeq lists it as uncharacterized. Lineage: Eukaryota; Metazoa; Chordata; Aves; Galliformes; Phasianidae. The transcript is spliced from 4 exons. The record is from RefSeq and is a predicted model, not a curated record.